RNAcentral lists this ribosomal RNA (488 nucleotides) under uncultured bacterium. RNAcentral's name for it is "partial 16S ribosomal RNA". It matches the Rfam family "Bacterial small subunit ribosomal RNA", at positions 28 to 507 of the family's 1533-position model. The record is from RNAcentral.
GACGAACGCUGGCGGCGUGCUUAACACAUGCAAGUCGAACGCGCCUGUCCUCUGGGUUUCUGGGGGGUGGGUGAGUGGCGAACGGGUGAGUAACACGUGAGUAACCUGCCCCCUUCUUCGGGAUAACGGUCUGAAAGGGCUGCUAAUACCGGGUAUUCACUGGUCUCCGCAUGGGGUCUGGUGGAAAGGUUUUUUUCUGGUGGGGGAUGGGCUCGCGGCCUAUCAGCUUGUUGGUGGGGUGAUGGCCCACCAAGGCUUUGACGGGUAGCCGGCCUGAGAGGGGGAACGGUCACAUUGGGAUUGAGAUACGGCCCAGACUCCUACGGGAGGCAGCAGUGGGGAAUAUUGCACAAUGGGCGCAAGCCUGAUGCAGCGACGCAGCGUGAGGGAUGGAGGCCUUCGGGUUGUGAACCUCUUUCGCCCGUGGUCAAGCCGCGACGUGGGUCGGGGUGAGGGUAGUGGGUAAAGAAGCGCCGGCUAACUACGUG